GAACUGAAGAGUUUGAUCAUGGCUCAGAUUGAACGCUGGCGGCAGGCCUAACACAUGCAAGUCGAGCGGAUGAAGGGAGCUUGCUCCUGGAUUCAGCGGCGGACGGGUGAGUAAUGCCUAGGAAUCUGCCUGGUAGUGGGGGAUAACGUCCGGAAACGGGCGCUAAUACCGCAUACGUCCUGAGGGAGAAAGUGGGGGAUCUUCGGACCUCACGCUAUCAGAUGAGCCUAGGUCGGAUUAGCUAGUUGGUGGGGUAAAGGCCUACCAAGGCGACGAUCCGUAACUGGUCUGAGAGGAUGAUCAGUCACACUGGAACUGAGACACGGUCCAGACUCCUACGGGAGGCAGCAGUGGGGAAUAUUGGACAAUGGGCGAAAGCCUGAUCCAGCCAUGCCGCGUGUGUGAAGAAGGUCUUCGGAUUGUAAAGCACUUUAAGUUGGGAGGAAGGGCAGUAAGUUAAUACCUUGCUGUUUUGACGUUACCAACAGAAUAAGCACCGGCUAACUUCGUGCCAGCAGCCGCGGUAAUACGAAGGGUGCAAGCGUUAAUCGGAAUUACUGGGCGUAAAGCGCGCGUAGGUGGUUCAGCAAGUUGGAUGUGAAAUCCCCGGGCUCAACCUGGGAACUGCAUCCAAAACUACUGAGCUAGAGUACGGUAGAGGGUGGUGGAAUUUCCUGUGUAGCGGUGAAAUGCGUAGAUAUAGGAAGGAACACCAGUGGCGAAGGCGACCACCUGGACUGAUACUGACACUGAGGUGCGAAAGCGUGGGGAGCAAACAGGAUUAGAUACCCUGGUAGUCCACGCCGUAAACGAUGUCGACUAGCCGUUGGGAUCCUUGAGAUCUUAGUGGCGCAGCUAACGCGAUAAGUCGACCGCCUGGGGAGUACGGCCGCAAGGUUAAAACUCAAAUGAAUUGACGGGGGCCCGCACAAGCGGUGGAGCAUGUGGUUU
This 951-nucleotide ribosomal RNA is filed under the name Pseudomonas aeruginosa. RNAcentral describes it as "bacterial SSU rRNA". It matches the Rfam family "Bacterial small subunit ribosomal RNA", at positions 1 to 947 of the family's 1533-position model. The record is from RNAcentral. Lineage: Bacteria; Pseudomonadati; Pseudomonadota; Gammaproteobacteria; Pseudomonadales; Pseudomonadaceae.